RNAcentral lists this long non-coding RNA (1672 nucleotides) under Mytilus galloprovincialis (Mediterranean mussel). The record is from RNAcentral. Lineage: Eukaryota; Metazoa; Mollusca; Bivalvia; Mytilida; Mytilidae.
UUAAAUAACAUAUUCAAUAGAGACAAUCAACUAAAAUGAGUCAUCGCUAAAACUAUCUGUUUCAGUUUGAAAAAAACCAAAAACAGUUUACGUGUCGCUCUUGAUAAAUCAGUACUUUAUUCGUAUAAAAAUUAAGAUUAAACGUUCAAAAUUAAAUUGAGGUAAGUGUUUUUGAUAUAUAAUGGAAAUGAUUUUAUAUAUAUUAGGUCCGUCUUUCUGUUUUCAUGAUCAUUUGGUUUGUUUGCGUAAUGUUUACUAUUUUUAAAACUGUAUAAUGUGUUUUUUUACAACAAUACAGAGAAGAUACAAUUUCAUUUAUACACACGCACCUAUAAUAUAAUGGAACUUUAUGUGACUGUCAUGCAAGUAAGAGGUGUAGCUAGCUACAAAGUUCAGGUGUAAUCCACCAUUUUCAGUAGAUAUCCAUUCGUUUGUAGUGUUUGAGCAUUUGAUUUUGUCAUUUGCUUAGGAACUCAGGGUUAAGAAUUUUCCUUAGAGUUUGGUAUUUUUGUUAAUAACUUGCUACAAUAUUUUUCCAGGUUAAAUAUUAAAAUACCCUAACAUAUAUAUCAUUAUUUAUUUUAUGUGAUUGAUUUUUUUUUUUAUUAUUAUUGUUAAGUUUUUCAUUACAACAAAAUGAAAGCAAUAAAUAAUCAUUGUCUACCAUGUUUUUUUCCGAUGCUGUUCAAACAAAUAUUCAUCAUUUGUCAAAGACUUUUUAGAACCUUUGAAAAGACUGAAGCAAAUCUAAAAACUCUCUUAGCAAAAAUGUAAAGAACGCAUCUUAAAAGUGGUUAUCAAACAUCAUUGAAAACCCAUACUUAUUCAAAAUAGAAUAUAACGAUAUCACUUUGCGAUAAUUAAGACCAAAACCUCAAAGAAAAACCUUCAUUCGUUCCGUUUCUGGACAUAAUGACGCAGACAUCCGAGAAGGCGGCAGUAAUAAAAAUAAAAGAAUGUGGUACCAUUGCCAAAGAGACAACUCUUCAUCAGAGACCUAAUGACAUAGAACUUUAUGAUUAAAAUCCACUGAUUGACCUUCAACAAUGACCUUAACCGCAAAGUAAGCGUAUGAAAAGCCCCACAAUGACAAUAGUUUUAAAAUUAGUACAAAAAUUCAAUCGAGAAAACUGACGGCAAAUUUUAUUUAACAAUGAACGGAUUAUCCAAGAUAAGAGCUUAUCCUCUGUGUAACCGGACUUGAGAACAUAUGUAUAUCCUCAAAGAUUAUAACUACAUUUAUUGCGCUACAGUUUUGGAUUGGCUAAAAUUGCGUUCCAAUAUAAAUAUAUUUGGUCAGUUCUUUUACAGAAUCAAUUGAAUUCUUGUUAUUGAUUUACUUGAAGUAGUCUUAUACUGCUAAAAUAUUUUAACAUUAUUUGUUUUAACGUUAAUGAGAAACACUUUGUCACUCUUUCUGUCAAUUCGAAGAAAAAGUAAUAAGAAUAAUUAUUCAUAAUAUAUUUGAUUCGUUUUCUUUUUAGUUGUCUUUUUCAAACGAUAGAGAAGAAUGAGUUAUAAUCAGUCAGCUGUCAUGUAUCAUAAUUCGAAAUUUUUUCUGGCACAAAUGAAUCCAACGGUAAGCAGACUUUUGAUUUACUUAUAAAGGUCGAAUACCUUAUUACAGUAAAAAAAUAAACAAACAGAAAAAUCUACAUAUAAAUCAAUAUGA